This 1349-nucleotide unclassified non-coding RNA is filed under the name uncultured Neocallimastigales. RNAcentral's name for it is "partial contains internal transcribed spacer 1, 5.8S ribosomal RNA, internal transcribed spacer 2, and large subunit ribosomal RNA". The stretch from base 590 to 1349 matches the Rfam family "Eukaryotic large subunit ribosomal RNA", at positions 1 to 621 of the family's 3401-position model. Lineage: Eukaryota; Fungi; Neocallimastigomycota; Neocallimastigomycetes; Neocallimastigales. The record is from RNAcentral.
AAAAUAAUCCUACCCUUUGUGAAUUUUGUUUGUUUGAAUAAUUUUUUUUUUAAAAAAUUAUUGGAGUCUUUCCCUUUAGUUUGCUUUUGAGUUUGUAAAAGAAUUCGAAAACAUCUAAAGGGGAUGGUCAAUAAUUUUUUUGAAAAAAGACAUUUUUUAAAAUUAAACUUUUUGUAUUCAUUUGUCUAAAAAUUAUUUUUAUAAUAUAAAAACAACUUUUGACAAUGGAUCUCUUGGUUCUCGCAACGAUGAAGAACGCAGCAAAAUGCGAUAAGUAGUGUGAAUUGCAGAAUACGUGAAUCAUCGAAUCUUUGAACGCAUAUUGCACUUUUUUAGUUUACUAAAAAGUAUGUCUGUUUGAGUAUCAGUAAAAUAUUCUCAUAAAAAUCAUUGUGUAUUUUUAUGGUUAUGAGUGUUUUACAACGAUACAAGUUGUUUCACUUUAAAUUUUUUUUUUAAUAUUGAAAUUUUUCUAAUUUUAAUAAUUAAAAUUGGAUAAAAUUUUCCCGUCAAAGGAAUAACCUAAACAAUUUUAAAUGAUUAAUUUUAGCAAAUUUUCGUAAAAAAGGAAAAUUUUAUUAAAAUAACUUGAUCUCAAAUCAGAUAAGAGUACCCGCUGAACUUAAGCAUAUCAAUAAGCGGAGGAAAAGAACUAACAAGGAUUCCCUUAGUAACGGCGAGUGAAGCGGGAAGAGCUCAAAUUUGAAAUCUUCAAGGUUUUACCUUGACGAAUUGUAGUUUAAAGAAGUGUUUUCUGCUGAAGUUUUGGUAAAAGUUCUUUGGAAUAGGACAUCAUAGAGGGUGAGAAUCCCGUAUUUGACCACUAUUUUCAGCUUUGUGAUACACUUUCAAAGAGUCGGAUUGUUUGGGAAUGCAGUCCAAAAUGGGUGGUAAAUUUCAUCUAAAGCUAAAUAUUGGCGAGAGACCGAUAGCGAACAAGUACCGUGAGGGAAAGAUGAAAAGAACUUUGAAAAGAGAGUUAAACAGUACGUGAAAUUGUCAAAAGGGAAGCGUUUGACACCAGUGUUGUUUUCUCGAAAAUCAAUUAAAAAUGGCUCGAUUUUGUAUUGCUGAGACCUUAAAGGCUCACUGUACAUUUUUCGUGUCUUUUUUAAUGCACUUUUCGUUUAACAAGUCAACAUCAGUUUCUUUUGUUGUAAAAGGGUCAUUGGAAGGUGGCUUUCUUUUCGGAGAAAGUGUUUAUAGCCUUUGGCCUCUGCAAUCGGAGAGACUGAGGUCUGCAGCGUAGACUCUUCGGGGUUAGAUACAUUUGUGCUAAGUUAUAGCUUUUAUAGACAACUUGUUGACUAUAAUUAGUCUUGUAGCUUACUCGCUUAUGCUAUUUUACC